AGACAAUGGGGAUGGGGACAAUGGGGAUGAUGGGGACAUUGGAGAUGGUGGGGUGAGAUGUGGCGGGGAUGAUGGAGGUGGGGACGAUGGAGAUGGGAACGGUGGAGAUGAUGGAGAUGAAGAUGAUGGGGGUGGGGACAGUGGGGACGGUGGAGAUGGUGGGGACAAUGGGAGCGGGGGCGAUGGAGAUGAUGUGGGUAGAGAUGAUGGAGGCAGGGAUGAUGACAAUGGGGAUGGAGACGAUGGAGAUGGAGACAAUGGAAAUGGGGAUGACGGAGAUGUAGGUGAUGAAGACGUUGGGGAUGUGAGUGGGGGAGAUGGGGACGAUGAAGAUGGAGAUGAUGGGGGUGAUGGAAUGGGAAUGGUGGAAAUGGGAACGAGUGGAACGGAGUCGGAGAUGAUGGGGGUGAUGGAGACAUGGAGAUGGGGACGGGAUGAAGGAGGUGGAGGUGAGGAUGGGGAUGAUGGAGGAGGAAAAAAUGGGGACCAUGGGAAUGGGAACCAUGGAAACAGUGGAGAUGGGGACAGUGGGGAUGAUGAAGCUGGGGACAAUGGGGACGGAGAUGAUGGAGGUGAUGGGGACAGUAGAGGUGGAGGUGAUGGAGAUGAUGGGAAUGGAGAUGGAGAUGAUGGAGAUCGUGGGGAUGGAGAGGACGGGGACAGUAGGGAUAAAGAUAAUGGAGAUGAUGGGGAUGAAGAUGAUGGAGAUGGUGAGGACAGUGGAGGUGGAGGUGAUGGAGAUGGGGAUGCAGAAGAUGGGGUCAAUGGAGAUGAAGAGGAUGGAGAUCAUGGGGAUGAAGGUGAUGGAGAUCAUGGGGAAGGAGAUGAUGAGGACAGUGAAGGUAGGGGUGAUGGCGACAACGGAGAUGGAGAUGAUGGAAAUCAUGGGUGGGGUGGAGAUCUUUGGGGCGAUGGGGACAAUGCAGAUGAAGGUAAUGGAGAUGCUGGGGACAACGGAGGUGUUGGAGUUGAUAAGGAUGAUGGGGAUGGGGACGGUGGAGAUGAUGGAGGUGAUGGAGAUGAUGGGGAUGGAGAUGAUGGGGAUGGAGAUGAUGGGGGAUGAUGGAGAUGAUGAGGGCAGUGGAGGUGGAGAUGUUGGGAUGAUGGGGACAGGGAUGAUAGGGAUAAAGAAGAUGGAGAUGAUGAUGGGGAUGGAGAUGAUGGGGAGGAGGCA
Molecule: long non-coding RNA, 1174 nt
Filed under: Anser brachyrhynchus (Pink-footed goose)
Lineage: Eukaryota; Metazoa; Chordata; Aves; Anseriformes; Anatidae
Description: lncRNA (ENSABRG00000000123.1)
Source: RNAcentral